GAUGAACGCUGGCGGCGUGCCUAAUACAUGCAAGUCGAGCGAACAGACGAGGAGCUUGCUCCUCUGACGUUAGCGGCGGACGGGUGAGUAACACGUGGAUAACCUACCUAUAAGACUGGGAUAACUUCGGGAAACCGGAGCUAAUACCGGAUAAUAUAUUGAACCGCAUGGUUCAAUAGUGAAAGACGGUUUUGCUGUCACUUAUAGAUGGAUCCGCCGCAUUAGCUAGUUGGUAAGGUAACGGCUUACCAAGGCAACGAUGCGUAGCCGACCUAAGAGGGUGAUCGGCCACACUGGAACUGAGACACGGUCCAGACUCCUACGGGAGGCAGCAGUAGGGAAUCUUCCGCAAUGGGCGAAAGCCUGACGGAGCAACGCCGCGUGAGUGAUGAAGGUCUUCGGAUCGUAAAACUCUGUUAUUAGGGAAGAACAAAUGUGUAAGUAACUAUGCACGUCUUGACGGUACCUAAUCAGAAAGCCACGGCUAACUACGUG
Molecule: ribosomal RNA, 495 nt
Filed under: uncultured bacterium
Lineage: Bacteria
Description: partial 16S ribosomal RNA
Rfam family: Bacterial small subunit ribosomal RNA
Source: RNAcentral